CCUUUUGCCACAUUCUAAUUGGUUGUGCAUGUUGAGGCGGUGUUCUACAAUUUGUGAUGGAACACGUAAGGGUUCAGCACUGCGUCGAGGGUCAACACUAAUUCUCUCUUCUCAAAGGAUGGAUUAAUUUAUGUUAAGUUCCAUGAUGGACAUGGGAAGUGAUCUUGAAGUUCGUGCAAGUGGAGGACUUCUGGCGAUUUUGGAGAAUGAAAGAAUUGUCGAUACCCUUGAGCAAAAGGAAUGUGGGAAUUCAUCAAUCACCAUCGACUCUAUCAUUCAGAUUUCACUAAGCAAUUUUCUCAGACUAGAUGCAGCUGCCCAUGAAGCAUUGCAGAUAUUUCAAAUAGACAAACAUCCAAGCCACAUGGGCAUUGGUAGAGCAAAGGAAGGGUAAUGAAGAAAUACUUGAUAUGUCAUUUUACUGGCCGAAGUCUGAAGAUAUAAACUGAUAUUUUCAAUUACAGGUUCUCGGUUUUUCGCAGGAUGAACAAGGUCAGUGAAAGCCUGUCUUCUUUAUUGGAAAUAUUAAUAUGGAACUGAACCAUGAUCUCGAUCCAGUGUGUGACGCUAAUGGGUAGACGGCUCUUGAGGUAAAUUUUGUUCAUGAGAUUGUAGCACUCUUCUUUCAUGAGCGACAUCUGACUUGAGGUUCUGACUAAUGGCUCUUGUCACUUUAGAAGUUGGUUCCUGAGGCCCAUACUCGACCUUGAGCAUUUGAACAAUUGUCUGAAUUUUGUAUCCUACA
Rhodamnia argentea is the source of this 745-nucleotide long non-coding RNA. RefSeq lists it as uncharacterized. Lineage: Eukaryota; Viridiplantae; Streptophyta; Magnoliopsida; Myrtales; Myrtaceae. The record is from RefSeq and is a predicted model, not a curated record. The transcript has 3 exons.